GCCGGAGUGGCGGAAUGGCAGACGCGGCGGACUCAAAAUCCGUUGGUCGCAAGGCCGUGUGGGUUCGACUCCCUCCUCCGGCACCA
This 86-nucleotide transfer RNA is filed under the name Acidipila sp. Its description in RNAcentral is "tRNA-Leu". It matches the Rfam family "tRNA". From Rfam's summary of the family: Transfer RNA (tRNA) molecules are approximately 80 nucleotides in length. Their secondary structure includes four short double-helical elements and three loops (D, anti-codon, and T loops). Lineage: Bacteria; Pseudomonadati; Acidobacteriota; Terriglobia; Terriglobales; Acidobacteriaceae. The record is from RNAcentral. RNAcentral also lists the same sequence under 7 other names.